Molecule: long non-coding RNA, 1081 nt
Organism: Cebus imitator (Panamanian white-faced capuchin)
Lineage: Eukaryota; Metazoa; Chordata; Mammalia; Primates; Cebidae
Exons: 3
Source: RefSeq, a predicted model, not a curated record
GGGGUACAUGUGAAGAACAUGCAAGAUUGUUGCAUAGGAUAAUGUUUAUCUCACUCCCCAAUGGGCUUCAGACCUGAAAAUUGAAUCUCCCUGAUUUGACGCACAGUGGAGCUCUUAAGUAUUCAUGGUGAAGAGUAGAGACUUUGCAGUAAGACCCUCAUGAUUUGUUCUGGGCUCUUAGUAUCCUGAGUCUUAACAAACUCUGAAAACAAUAAAAACUACUUCAAAAGAUUUGCUGUAAACCUUAUGUGAGGUCAUGCAGGUAGAUUUUUAACCCAUUUAUAACCUUUGUUUCACUUUUUGAAGCAAAUAAUAUAGUUGUGAUCACAGGUCCACUAUUUCUAGUUAAAUAGCAUCUAGAAGCCUGGGAUUUUAUUUUGCUACACAGAACAACUCUGGUACAAUUAAUAACCACUUAGCGUGGGGCUAGAAGAAACGACCACAUUUGAAAAACCCUAGAAGGGGCAACACCAACUGACCUAGAGGGAAGGAGGAAGCAUAUCCGCUACAAUUCCUGAAGGAGGUCUAUUCUUAGAGGAAUCAAAAUGAAAGAGAAAAAAAUUAGUUCCUGGGCACACCUGGACUGUGUUUAAUGUGUUUAACUGUUUCUUAUGAAGGUCGUUCUAAUUAUGCAUGUAUGUAAUCUUCAAAGCUUGUAUAUUAAGGUUCUUUCUGAUAUUGAAAGAUAUGGAUAUGUUUGUUAAUUCACUGUACUGUUAUUUUGAAAGGUAUUUUUUGUGUUAAAUCAAAAUUUAGUCCUUACUGUCAUCUAACUUGAAGAUGAUGGAUUUUACAUGUUCUCCAUUCAUUAAAUGGUGGUGGAGAGAUCACAUCAUGCCAGACAUUGUGACAGUUGCUGAAUUAAAUAGUGGGGAUCCAAGCUAAUAGAUCCCUGUUAAGAUAAAGGCAUGUAUGUCCCAUCUCUUGUAACUGUUUAGAAGAAUGCCACUUGUUAUUUAUCAAAACUUCCAACAUUUCUGAUGUUGAAGCUUUAAAAACUACAAUGUUCUAAUUAUCCUUUGGAUAUUUUAUGUCUUCCUUGUGAGACAUAAUGCUUGAUUUUGUAUUAAUUAUGCAAUGU